GAUGAACGCUGGCGGCGUGCCUAAUACAUGCAAGUCGAGCGAACAGACGAGGAGCUUGCUCCUCUGACGUUAGCGGCGGACGGGUGAGUAACACGUGGAUAACCUACCUAUAAGACUGGGAUAACUUCGGGAAACCGGAGCUAAUACCGGAUAAUAUAUUGAACCGCAUGGUUCAAUAGUGAAAGACGGUUUUGCUGUCACUUAUAGAUGGAUCCGCGCCGCAUUAGCUAGUUGGUAAGGUAACGGCUUACCAAGGCAACGAUGCGUAGCCGACCUGAGAGGGUGAUCGGCCACACUGGAACUGAGACACGGUCCAGACUCCUACAGGAGGCAGCAGUAGGGAAUCUUCCGCAAUGGGCGAAAGCCUGACGGAGCAACGCCGCGUGAGUGAUGAAGGUCUUCGGAUCGUAAAACUCUGUUAUUAGGGAAGAACAAAUGUGUAAGUAACUAUGCACGUCUUGACGGUACCUAAUCAGAAAGCCACGGCUAACUACGUG
This 497-nucleotide ribosomal RNA is filed under the name uncultured bacterium. RNAcentral's name for it is "partial 16S ribosomal RNA". It matches the Rfam family "Bacterial small subunit ribosomal RNA", at positions 28 to 507 of the family's 1533-position model. The record is from RNAcentral.